GAUCCUGGCUCAGGAUGAACGCUGGCGGCGUGCUUAACACAUGCAAGUCGAACGAAGCACUUUUACAGAUUUCUUCGGAAUGAAGUUUUAGCGACUGAGUGGCGGACGGGUGAGUAACGCGUGGGUAACCUGCCUCACACAGGGGGAUAACAGUUGGAAACGGCUGCUAAUACCGCAUAAGCGCACGGUACCGCAUGGUACAGUGUGAAAAACUCCGGUGGUGUGAGAUGGACCCGCGUCUGAUUAG
This 247-nucleotide ribosomal RNA is filed under the name uncultured bacterium. Its description in RNAcentral is "partial 16S ribosomal RNA". It matches the Rfam family "Bacterial small subunit ribosomal RNA", at positions 15 to 244 of the family's 1533-position model. The record is from RNAcentral.